GACGAACGCUGGCGGCGUGCCUAAUACAUGCAAGUCGAGCGGAUUGAUAGGAGCUUGCUCCCUGAUAUCAGCGGCGGACGGGUGAGUAACACGUGGGCAACCUGCCUAUAAGACUGGGAUAACUUCGGGAAACCGGAGCUAAUACCGGAUAAUCCCUUUCCUCUCAUGAGGAAAGGCUGAAAGAUGGUUUACGCUAUCACUUAUAGAUGGGCCCGCGGCGCAUUAGCUAGUUGGUGAGGUAACGGCUCACCAAGGCAACGAUGCGUAGCCGACCUGAGAGGGUGAUCGGCCACACUGGGACUGAGACACGGCCCAGACUCCUACGGGAGGCAGCAGUAGGGAAUCUUCCGCAAUGGACGAAAGUCUGACGGAGCAACGCUGCGUGAGUGAUGAAGGUUUUCGGAUCGUAAGACUCUGUUGUUAGGGAAGAACAAGUACGAGAGUAACUGCUCGUACCUUGACGGUACCUAACCAGAAAGCCACGGCUAACUACGUGCCAGCCGCCGCGGUAA
RNAcentral lists this ribosomal RNA (512 nucleotides) under uncultured bacterium. Its description in RNAcentral is "partial 16S ribosomal RNA". It matches the Rfam family "Bacterial small subunit ribosomal RNA", at positions 28 to 523 of the family's 1533-position model. The record is from RNAcentral.